UGUAAAAAUCCUGAUUGGAGUAUCACUGUAAAUAAUUAUACAUGUUAAAAAGAAGCCCUUGACUCCAUUUGGCUUAAAUGUUGAUUUUGAUCUGAGUUGUUUUCUGUAAAUUUAUCUUGGAUAGUAAUCUUUAUUUAUAUUUAUAUUUUGUUUGUAUAGAUUAUUUUUCAUGUUGGAGUCUAAUUGUUAAUUAUUGAAUGAUUUGGAUUAUAUUAUGUUCAGCUGUGUAUAAUUAUCAUCAUUAUUUAUACUGGUCUCCAUGUUUAUGAAGCUAUACCUUGAAAAAGGCUACUAGCCGAAACGUUGGUUAAUAAUUGUGCUUAAGUGAGUGUGCAGUUGUUCUCCAAUUUAUUUAAAAAGAAGCCUUUUAUCAUGCAGAUAAAAACAGAGAUUAAAAAAGUCCCUCUAAACAACUCGUUCUCAUCAAUCUGCCUAUAAAUAACACGGCUUUACACUUUCCAAUUGCGUAUAAUGCAUACGCCAAAUGCCAAUUUUGCGUGCAUAUGAUACGCCAAUCCUUCCCACCAACUUCGGUGGAGAGCAGAUGCGUCCGAAUACCACGCAGCAUCUUCAGAGGCAGGGGACCUCACCAGCGAGGCUCGGUUCGCCCGGGUCACCUGAUGCGCGUGCAAACAGGUAAGUAAGGGCAAAAAUCUUUUCCUUUUCAAUGAGAUCAUUAUUUUAAUUAAUUCAGUCUUUCUGCGUUGCAUGCGGUCAUGUGUUACAAUGGAAGCGUAUGCAUUCAAAUGAGUUGUUAGUAGAACAGUGGGCUGCUCAGUUAGCACAGCUGGUAACCUGCCAUUACAUUAGCCUAAGCUAACUUCUAACUGUUGCAGUUUGAAAUAAAUAAAUAAAUAAAUAAAGCUGUUUUAAAUCAUGUUGUGACAUGGGUCUUCAGCUUUUAGACGUGGUUGAUGACAGCUCUACAAAUCAGCCAACCCAGUAUUGCGUGAUAAGCGCGUGACCAUGCAAAAAGUCCACACAUUUACCAUAUUUUUACCAUCGUAACUAUGUUUACUGUCUACUCUUUGUAUUUAAAGAACAGUAACACCGCUUCUACCAUGUUUUUACUGCAUAUUUGUAGUUAAAGCACAGUAACACAACACUUAAAAUGGUUUUACCACAGUAACCAUAGUUUUACUGUGGUAUUUGUAGUUAAAGCAGUAAUUGUACUGAAGUAACUGUAAUUCAAUAUUUUUUUUCUGUCUUGCAGUUGCGUCAGAUCACAUACUCCAGCAGCUCUUUUAAGAAGUCAUCUCUUGUAAAAGCCAUCACUUGUUCCUAUUUUUCCAAACUAUAAUCCAUAAUUCAUUUACACAUAGUUUUGCUUUCUCUCUCUCUCUCUUUCUGUGCAUCGUGACAUUUUUAAAUCUCAUAAUUUUGACCAAUUCUUUCAGAAAGCUGCUAGAAUGAACAGGGAACUUGAACUCGAAGCUCCUAAUGCUGAUCUUGAAGAAGCUGCCAAGGAGGCUGAACAAGUCCUUCAAUGAUUCAACUCUUCACACUGAAAGGGAAGACCAAAGGGAGGCCUGCCUUUGGAUGUGAUUUUGGCCGUAUUGUGCGUUUACGGAGAAGACCAAAAGCUGCAAAGGCAAAUGCUGAAGACCAAAAACGCAAAGAAAAUCAGUCACAGCAAGCCGGUCAAACCAGUCCUGAUGAAUGAGGCAUGAACAUGGCCUACUUGUGCCCAAACAGAAAAGACAGAGAGAUGAAAAGUUGCACAUUUCCAUUGUGUGGGAUUUGGGCAGGAAAUGACUGAAUAUGGAGGAUGAAGCCAGUUGAUGAAGAUGUCAAUUCAAUGGCCACCAAGUGCUGCACUGCUGCCUGAACCCAUCAGAUAUCUGCUGUGAAGACUGCAUUCACGAACAGCUCUACUGUGACAGUGCAGAUGUUACGGCCCAUAAAAGUAAACUUCACAACUGAACAACUGCAAGAUAGCGGUGGAGGGAUUCUUUUGGCCCAUACCUCCAACAACCUCCAACAAGAAUCAAUGGUAAGUCCAGUGCAACAAUUAUGCACUGCACUCUAUCACUUACAAUGACUGGACGCUGACUCACUAUUAUUCUGCACCCUGACAUUCUGUUUGCACUAAUUCAUACCGUACUGCACUGCAAAGGUAUAUGUGUACUGUGAUUAUUGUGUUUAAUCAGAAUAAUCAAUUGUGUUAUUGUUUUCAUUUCAUGCUCUCUGUAUAGUAUAAUAUUUACCAUAUGUUGUUCUCUAUCUGUAUUGAGUCCCUUAUAUGUGUGUGUUGCAUAUAUAUUCAAUACUUUUUUUUUUCUUUAUCAACUUUUUGUUGUUUUUAUAUAUUCAAUACUUUUCAUCCAUAAUGUCAUGCUGCAGUUUGCACAAAAAACU
Molecule: long non-coding RNA, 2358 nt
Organism: Onychostoma macrolepis
Lineage: Eukaryota; Metazoa; Chordata; Actinopteri; Cypriniformes; Cyprinidae
Exons: 5
Source: RefSeq, a predicted model, not a curated record